UGGGGAAUCUUCCGCAAUGGGCGAAAGCCUGACGGAGCAACGCCGCGUGGGUGAAGAAGGCCUUCGGGUUGUAAAGCCCUGUCUUAUGGGAAGAAGAAAGUGACGGUACCAUAGGAGGAAGCCACGGCUAACUACGUGCCAGCAGCCGCGGUAAUACGUAGGUGGCGAGCGUUGUCCGGAAUUACUGGGCGUAAAGGGCGCGCAGGCGGGCAUUUAAGUCAGAUGUGUAAUCUACAGGCUCAACCUGUAGCUUGGAUCUGAUACUGGGUGUCUUGAGUACAGGAGAGGGCAGUGGAAUUCCUAGUGUAGCGGUGAAAUGCGUAGAUAUUAGGAGGAACACCAGUGGCGAAGGCGGCUGCCUGGACUGUAACUGACGCUGAGGCGCGAAAGCGUGGGGAGCGAACAGGAUUAGAUACCCUGGUAUUCCACGCCGUAAACGAUGGGUACUAGGUGUAGGAGGUAUCGACCCCUUCUGUGCCGGAGUUAACACAUAGUACCCCGCCUGGGGACUA
This 512-nucleotide ribosomal RNA is filed under the name uncultured bacterium. RNAcentral's name for it is "bacterial SSU rRNA". It matches the Rfam family "Bacterial small subunit ribosomal RNA", at positions 355 to 882 of the family's 1533-position model. The record is from RNAcentral.